RNAcentral lists this ribosomal RNA (374 nucleotides) under uncultured organism. RNAcentral's name for it is "bacterial SSU rRNA". It matches the Rfam family "Bacterial small subunit ribosomal RNA", at positions 526 to 896 of the family's 1533-position model. The record is from RNAcentral.
CGGGGGGAGCAAGCGUUGUUCGGAUUUACUGGGCGUAAAGGGCGCGUAGGCGGCCACCGCAAGUCGACUGUGAAAUCUCCGGGCUUAACUCGGAAAGGUCAGCCGAUACUGCGGGGCUAGAGUGCAGAAGGGGCAACUGGAAUUCUCGGUGUAGCGGUGAAAUGCGUAGAUAUCGAGAGGAACACCUGCGGCGAAGGCGGGUUGCUGGGCUGACACUGACGCUGAUGUGCGAAAGCUAGGGGAGCGAACGGGAUUAGAUACCCCGGUAGUCCUAGCCUUAAGCGAUGAAUGCUUGGUGUCUGGGGUUCUAUAGUCCCCGGGUGCCGUCGCUAACGCUUUAAGCAUUCCGCCUGGGGAGUACGGUCGCAAGACUG